Molecule: non-coding RNA, 1414 nt
Organism: Callithrix jacchus (white-tufted-ear marmoset)
Lineage: Eukaryota; Metazoa; Chordata; Mammalia; Primates; Cebidae
Source: RefSeq, a predicted model, not a curated record
GCUGGCUGGGUGCAGAUCGUCGAAGCACCUUCCGCGGUCUUUGCCGCGCUGAUCUGCAGCAGAACUCUUCUGCCAGUCUGUGCUCUCAACCCCAAGCGUCCUUCUCCGUUGGCGACACACGCACUGAAUCCCGAGUCUUCCUACAGGCCAACACCUCGGUGCAGAGGAUGGAAGCAGGGAGAAGGGAAUUUCUAGAUUUGGACAAAAGUUAUUCUGCUGGUGCCACAUCCCCAGCUGGCAUCUAUCCUGUCCGAAGCUUACCUUGAAUAUGUUGCCAAGCCUUGUUGUGAUUAACAGGGAGACAAUGGCCAUCUACAAGCCAAGGAGAGAAGUCUCAGAAGAAAUAAACUCUGUUGACACCUUGAUCUUGGACUUGUAGCCUCAAGAAUUAUGAGAAAAUAAAUUUCUGUUGCUUCAGCCACCCAGCCUGUAGUACUUUGUUAUGGCAGCCUUAGCAACUAACACAUACGAAUAUGCUACAAUUUAUAUAUCCUUUCCAAUGUUGAUGGACACUUGAGCUAAUUUCAGUUUGGGGCUACUUUGAAUACAGCUGCUCUGAACAUUCUUGAAGAUGUCUUCUUUGAACAUAUAUAGUCAUUCUUUUUGGCAUGUAUCUAGGAGUGGAAUUGCUGAUUUACAGGGUUUAAUAUAUGUUUAGGUUUAGUACAUGUUGCCAGUUUUCCAAAGUGAUUGUACCAAUCUCUACACUGGUGGUAAAGUCUCGUAUCUGUUUUUUUAAAUACUAUAAUAAAAGAUGCUGAUUAAAUUCAUUAAAUUCCCUAAUGGCUAUUUACAUUUUAUGGCUGUCAGUCAAUGUGACAGCAAAGAGAAAGCAGUGACUUAGGACUGGAGACGCUUCUACACAUUGAUAUGGUGUGCUGUGUCUUUCAACUAAAAUCUAGACCAGUGACUCUUCUGUGUGUUCACCACGUGGUUUGUUUUGGACUUAUGUCCAAGUGUAGCAAACAUUCCAAGAAGCUUAAAACUAGAGUAAUUUUUCUUGUCUGCAUAUCAUUUCCUUUCUUCCAAGAACAUGUAAGAUGCGAGAAAUUAUUUUGAUCAUGUGGAUGUUGUACUUAAUAAAACAGAUUUGGGCUUUUUCCUGUAACCAAAAGUGAUAAUAAGAAGGAUUCUAAUUAAACUCCAGAGCUUCUGCACAGCAAAAGAAACAACCAUAAGAGUGAACUGGCAACGAACAGAAUGGGAAAAAAAUUUUGCAAUCUAUCCAUCUGAAAAAGGGCUAAUAUCCAGAAUCUACAAAGAACUAAAGCAGAUUUACAAGAAAAAAAAACAAACCCAUUCAAAAGUGGGCAAAGGAUAUGAAAAGACACUUUUCAAAAGAAGAUAUAUAUGAGGCCAAAAAACAUAUGAAAAAAUGCUCAUCAUCACUGGUCAUUAGAGAAAUGCAAAUCAA